UACGAGGGGGGCAAGCGUUGUUCGGAAUUACUGGGCGUAAAGGGUUUGUAGGUGGCUUGUUAAGUCAGACGUGAAAUCCCUCAGCUUAACUGGGGAACUGCGUCUGAGACUGGUGAGCUUGAGUGCAGGAGAGGAACGCGGAAUUCCAGGUGUAGCGGUGAAAUGCGUAGAUAUCUGGAGGAACACCGGUGGCGAAGGCGGCGUUCUGGACUGCAACUGACACUGAUGAACGAAAGCCAGGGGAGCAAACGGG
This 253-nucleotide ribosomal RNA is filed under the name uncultured bacterium. Its description in RNAcentral is "partial 16S ribosomal RNA". It matches the Rfam family "Bacterial small subunit ribosomal RNA", at positions 524 to 776 of the family's 1533-position model. The record is from RNAcentral.